AAAAUUUUAAUUGUUUUGCCCCUCAAGCCUUAUGGUUCUUUGAGUCUCAACUGGUAUCUCCUGUCUUUAUCUAUUUACCUUUUGUGUGGAGUGUAAGUUUAUUUGUGAUGGCUGUUGAUUUUUCUUUUUCAGUUGAUUGAUAUCACAGGCAAGAACCAGGAUGAAUGUGUGAUUGCUUUGCAUGACUGCAAUGGAGAUGUUAACAGAGCCAUCAAUGUUCUGCUGGAAGGAAACCCAGACACGGUAGAGUGCUAAAUAGUGUUUUAGAAUGUGGGUCCUGGGUUGGGAAGCUAGUAAUAUUCUAAAUAUAACAAGUGGGAUAGUCGACUUCAACCAGUAUACCUUAUUCUCCAAGUUGAGGAGGGAGCUUUCUUGGAGAUUAUUAUCUUGCAGGUUGCAAAUACUUAAAAUUUUUCUUCAAGAGGAUAAUAGUCAUAGGAAAAACAGGUAAAAUUAGUAUCUUCUAAUUGGGUUUGGAAUAAAUUAUUCAUUCCAGACUAGUGACUAUUUUUGAGGCUUGGGUUAGUCUGAAUGAAUUAGAAGUGCUACUUGAUAGCCUUGGUUAUUAAUCAUGGAAGAUUUCUGCUCACUUUUUUUUUUUUUUUUUUGAAGUACUGGGGAUUGAACCCAAGGGUGAUUUACCACUGAGCUACAUUCCCAUCCCUUUUUAAGACAGUCUUGCUAAGUUGCUGAGGCUGGUCUUGAACUUGCAAUCCUUUAACCUCAGUCUCCUAUGUUGCUAGGAUUACAGGUGCGCUAUUACUCCCAGCCUCUGCUCACCCUUUUUUGUUGUUGUUGCUGUUGAUCAAAAUCACAAACUAUACAAUUCAGAACAUUUCCAUUAAUAUCACCUUUAUAUUGCACAAUACUGUUGAAUUGCCUGAACUUGGUUGUAUUGAGAUAGCAAAGAAACAAGCUUUAAUAAGUAUUUUUUUUUUUUUUUUUUGGGUGUAGAUUGUAGAUGGACAAAAUAACUUUUAUUUAUUUAUUUAUUUCCAUGUGGUGGUGAGGAUCGAACCCAGCACCUCACAUGUGCUAGGCAAGCGCUCUACCACUGUGCUACAACCCCAGCCCUUAAUGAAUAUUUUGUGAUUUUCUUACACCUUAUAACUUUUGUGGGUUAUUCCCACAGUGCUUACUAGAGAACUUCCUUAAGUGAGCACUGGAGCAUUUUGAAAUAAUUUUCAUUUAUUUAUCUUACACUGGGGGAAUCUUUGGUUGGAAUAGAGUUCAUCCUUAGAGUUAUGAAUUUCCUAAGGUUACAGUGUCACAUCAACAGAAUACUAAAUUGUCUAUUUCCUUGAGACACUGGGAAAUAAUAGUGAAAAACUUUAUAAAAUAAUCGAAUUUAAGUUUGUGGGAUUUUUGGUGUCCCCUUCCAAAAAAAAAAAAAAAUUACUCCUGGAUUACAUUCUGUGUAAUUGUUCUCAUUAGAAAAUUCACUGCUUGGACAAUCAAGUCACAAUGCCUUUGGUCCACUUGUUUACACCAAAAUAAUCGCCUCAAGGUAUUCUUUUGGUGGGAGAGGUUGGAUAUCUCAUGCUUUUUUAAAAGUCCACAAGUCACAUUUUUCUCACCUCCAGCAUCUUCUGUCUAGUGCUACAAGUUUGACCUUCCAGGGGCUGGGGUUUUGGCUCAGUGGUAGAGCGCUCGCCUAGUAUGUGAGAGGAACUGGACUCCAUUCUCAGCAUCGCAUAUAAAUAAAUGAAUAAAAUAAAGUUUGACCUUCCAGAGCAUCAAAAAGGAAAAAAAGGUAGAGAAUAUAGGCUUAUGCCACAAAUAAACCAGCUACUAGAAAAUCAAUGGGAAGCAAAGUCAUCUGCUGGGGGUGUUGGAUGAAUUUGAGUGGGUGAGAUCAUAUCAGAAAACUGGCAGAAGAUAAUCGUAAUUAUUUUUCUUUAUAGAACCCAUCUGGUGCCUGCAGCUAAUGUAUACACAGGGGAGGGAGACAGGUGACAGGUUCCUGAAAUUUGCCAGGUUUUGAGACAGAUUAGCAUAAAUUCUAGAAGCUGUUUUUAGUCUAGUUUCCAGAGUUCCUGGUGCAGAUUUAGCUAUUGGGCUAUUACAAUUUACGAAUUAAAGCUACUAUAGUAUCAAAUGACACUUCCAACUAAAAUGUGAAAUAAGACUGGGUUGGAAGAGUAUAUAUAGCAGGGAACUGCUUAGGACUAGGUAGGUACCUCAUCUUUUAAAAAACUUUUUUUAGUAAACUAUUAUAGAUUCUUUAAAAUAUGUUAAUAUGCUUUAAUUUUAAUUUGGGGGGCAAGGGGUGGAGAUUGAAUGCAGGACCUCACAUUUGCUAAGCAUGUGCUCUCUCACUGAGCUAUAUCCAAGCCCUGAAUUCACUUUUUUUUUCUUAAAAAAUUAAAGUCUUUGGUAAAAUAAACAUAAAAUUUACCAUUUUAACUAUUCUUUUUUUUUUUUUUUUUUGGUACCGGGGAUUAAACUCAGGGGCACUUGACCAUUGAGCCACAUCUCCAUCCCUAUUUUGUAUUCUUUUUAGAGACAGGGUCUCACUGAGUUGCUUAGCGCCUUGCUUUUGCUGAGGCUGGUUUUGAACUUGUGAUCCUCCUGCCUCAGCCUCACAAGCCGCUGGGAUUACAGGAGCGUGCCACUGCGCCCAGCAUUUUAACUAUUCUUUUUUUAACUUUUUUUUAGUUGUAGUUGGUACAGUGUCUUUAUUUAUUUAUUUUUAUGUGGUGCUGAGGAUUGAACCCAGUACCUUACAUGUGCAAGGCAAGUGCUCUACCACUGAGCUACAGCCCCAGCCCUUUAACUCUUGAAUGUUUAAUUCAGUGACAUUAAGUACAUUCACAAAGGGUGCAGCCAUUACUGAUUUUUCCAGAACUUGUUCAUUGUCCUAACCGGGAAUUCUAUAUGUAUUUCAUAACUCUCCAUUCCUCCCUUCCCCAUUUCCUAGUAACCUCUACUAUUUUCUGUUUUCUAUGAAUUUGCCUCUUUUAGGUAAAGGAGAAGCAUACCGUGUUUAUCCUUUGGUUUCAAGCUCAUUCAUUUUCCAUAUUUUCAAGUUUCAUUUAUGUUGUAGGAUUUCAUUCCUUUUUAAGAAUGAAUAGUAUUCUGUUCACCUUUGGAGGCUGAGGCAGGAGGAUUUCAAGUUCAAAGCCAGCCUCAGCAACUUAGUGAGACCCUAAGCAACUCAGCGAGACCCUGUCUAAAUAAAAUAUUAAAAUUGGCUGGGGAGCCCGGGUACGAUGGCACACAUCUGUAAUCCCAGCAGCUCAGGAGGCUGAGAUAGGAGGAUUGCAAGUUCAAAGCCGGCCUCAACAAUGGCAGGGCACUAAUAAGUAACUCAGUGAGGCCCUGUCUCUAAUAAAAUACAAAAAUAGAGCUGGGGAUGUGGCUCAGUGUUUGAGUGCCCUUGGGUUCAAUCCUGGACCAAAAACCAAACAAACAAAAAACGGGCUAGGAUGUGGCUCAGUGGUUAAGCGUCCCCUGGGUUCAAUCAAUCCCUGCUACCAAAAAAGAAAAGAAAAAUGUUAAUGAUAACUCUGUUGUAUGUGUAUACCAUGUUUUAUUUUAUUUAUCUGUGCGUCUAUUGGUGGACACUUAAUUCUGUGGAAGUUGUAGACAUUAUAAUACUUCAUUUCCUAAAUUUUUCAAUAUAUGACUAUAAUUACUAUUUUCAAGUUGGGUGUGGUGGCAUAUAUUUGUAAUUCCCAGUAACUGUGGAGGCUGAGGAAGGAGGAUCCCUAGUUCAAGGCCUACCUCCACAACUUAGUGAGACCCCCAUCUCAAGAAAUAAAAAGGGCUGGGGAUGUAGCACAGUGGUAAAGUGCCCCCCUGAAUUCAAUCCCGAGUUUCAGAUAAAAAAUACUAUUGUAAUCCUGAGAAAAGUAACAACAGUUUUAUAUUGCCUAGUACCUGUUUUUUAAUUUUUUUUUUUUUUUAGUUUUAGAUGAACACAUACCUUUAAUUUUUAUGUGGUGCUGAGUAUCAAACCUAGUGCCUCACACGUACAAGAAAAGUACUUUACUACUGAGCCACAACCCCAGCCCCUGUUUUUUUUUUUUUUUUCCCCAUUACUAGGGAUUGAUUCAGGACCUUUCCCAUGCUAGUCAAGCACUCUACCACUGAACUAGAUCCCCAGCGUUGUGUUUUCUUUUUUUUUUUUUUUUUUUUUUCAGACAGGGUCUUGAUAUGUUGCUCAGCCUGGCCUUAAACUUUGAACCCUCCUGCUUCAGCCUCCCCAGUAGCUGGGAUUACAGGCAUGUACCAUUGCACACUGCUUGCUGGUUCAUAUUCUUCAAAGUUACCAGAUAUUAGAUAGCUGUUAAUGAGUGAGCACCAGUGCCAUAGUUCUUUCAGUUACAGUAACUAAGAUAGUAAAGGUAUAAUAGUCUUUUUUUGUUCUGGAACAUUUGUAACAGGUGUUUUGUGAAGAGAUAUGUAAAUUAAAGUGUGCUUUUUUUUUUUUUUUUGUACUAAGGAUUAAACCCAAGGACACUGCACCAAGUAAGCAACCUCACUAGCUCUUUUUAUUUUGAGACAAGGUCUUACUCAAUUCCCAAGGCUGGCCUCAAACUUUCCAUCCUUUUGCCUCAGCUUCCUGAGUCCCUGGGAUUACUAUGUGCCAUGAUUCUUGGCAGUAUGCUUUUUUUUUGUUUUGUUUUUUGUACUGGGAUUGAAUUUAGGGACACUCAACCACCAAGCCACAUCCCCAGCCCCAUAUUGUUAUAGAAAUAAACCUUUACUUUGUUUCUUUAUUUUUUAUAUGGUGCUGAAGAUCAAACCUAGUACCUCACACGUGCUAAGCAAGUGCUCUACCACUGAGCCACAACCCCAGCCCCUGUAUUUUGUUUUGUUUUUAAAUUACUAGGGAUUGAUUGAGGACCUUUCCCAGGCUAGUCAAACCUUGAUUUUUUUUUUUUUUAUUUUUUAGUUGUUGAGGGACCUUCAUUUUAUUUAUUAGUAUGUGUUGCUGAGAAUUGAACCCCGUGUGUCACGCGUGCCAGGCAAGCAUGCUACCACUGAGCCAUAACCCCAGCCCCCUGUAUUGUAUUUUAUUUAGCCAUACGGUCUCACUGAGUUGCUCAGUGCCUUGCCAUUACUGAGGCUGGGUUUGAACUCACAACCCUCCUGCCUCAGUCCCCUGAGCAGUUGGGAUUAUAGGCGUAUGCCACCAUACCCAGCAAUAUGCAUGUUUUUAAAACUUUAAAUUUUCAAGAUUUAUUUUUCUAAGGAGUAAGUGUUUUGCAAUUGUAUUUAGGAUAUUUUCCUUACUAUGGAUUUUACCUCCUAUAAUUUAGAGAACCUGGGGUACUCUACUACUAAACUACAUCCCCAGCCUUUUUUAUUUUGAUCCAUGGUCUUGCUAACUUACUGAAACUGGCCUUGAACUUGAACUGUGUGUAGUAGGAUAUACCAUGUAGGUUUGUAUAAGUUGCACUAUGAUGUUCAUGUAACAAUGAAAUAGCCUUGUGAUGCGUUUCUAAGACUAUAAUCCUGUCAUUAAACUAUAUUCUUUUUAAAUUGGAGUAUAUCAAUUUAAGAAGUGUGGAGAGAAUAUAGUGGAUAAAACCUGGAUGGAAGGCCUCCUAUUAUCACUGUGUCUCAGGGCCAGAGCUGCUGUUAGUGUCUUUUAAAUAUGUGUGCAUGUGUGUAUAAUUAUUGCUUUUGUCCUAAAUUUUUCCCAAGAGCCAAAUGCUGUUCGUGCAUCCUAAAUUUACAGAUAACUUGUAAAAACUUCCAGUUAGUUUUCCUUUUUGCUUUAUUUUAUAUGAAUAAGAAUGUAAAAAGUUGGUUUUGUGUGUGUGGGUCACUGAAUCCAGAGGGGCUAGUUAUUUUAGUCUAGGAAAUGCACUUGAUAGGCACAAAUAACUAGGUUCUUUGAUAGGCUAAGUGACUGAGCUGGAUAGAGAUCUUUUGAAAGUGAUACCUGUAAUCCAUUACCUAUAGGUACCUCCUCUUCAAAAAUAACUUUAAUUUUGGCAGAGAUAGGUAUACAGUUGGUUUUUAGGUUGUGUCUGUGCCUUCCAUUUAAACAGUGAAAUAAACUAAUGGAAAUGUUUUAAACAUGGAUGCAGAAAGAAUAGUCAGUUGUCCAGUCUAAUAUCCUGAUAGCUUGCAGUCCAUAUUAAGAUUAGACAUGAAAGUUCUCCUCUUCUUUAGCAUUCCUGGGAGAUGGUCGGGAAGAAGAAAGGUGUCUCAGGACAGAAGGAUGGUGGCCAGACGGAAUCCAACGAGGAAGGCAAAGAAAAUCGAGACCGGGACAGAGACUAUAGUCGGCGACGUGGUGGGCCACCAAGACGGGGAAGAGGUGCCAGCCGUGGACGAGAGUGUAUGCAUGGGGCUUUAUCAAAACCAGCUGUGGGUCAGUAAUGUCCAGAUUCCAGGGAUGUGUCAGGGCCCUGCUAGACAGGACCCAGGAACCAUGAUAUCACCUUUGUGUUUUUCUUGGCAUCAUGUAUUCUGAGAUUCUGGUAUCUCUUGCAUGUAGUCUUUUCUAGCAGCUGCCACUAGUCUGGCAUAAAAUUAUCCUUUAUUUAUUUAUAAAUUUUGAUUAUAGCUCUCUUUUGUGGCCCAUCUUCAAAUCUUUGAGUAUUCCUUAUGUCCCAUCAUUCCAAGCUCACAUUGUCUUUUUUUUUGUCUUUGUGACACUUUAUUACAUAGCAUUUACACAUUUGUAUAUAUCCUAUUGAUCCUUCUCUGGCCAUUCUCCCUUCCCACCUUCCGUAUUUCAGUUCGGGGUCAGGAAAAUGGAUUGGAUGGCACUAAGAGUGGAGGGCCUUCUGGAAGAGGCACAGAAAGAGGCAGAAGAGGCCGUGGCCGAGGCAGAGGUAAUCAAUUGUGGAGGGAUGGGUAUUGGGGGCAGGUUACUCUUCAGUUCCCUAGGGGUCUUCCUUAUUUAAAAGUAAAUUAAUAUGGAGACUGGUUACCUUAAUUGUUGAGGUCUCAUGCAUAUACUUGAGAUUGCUGAAAUGGAAAAUGGAAAAGAAGGUAGAUGUCAAAUUGAGUUUUUAUUGUUGAUGUUAUUGUUUGCUUGAAGACCCAGCAGUUUGAGCCGCAAGAACUAUCUGUCAACACUAAUGAUUGUCUUACUCUAUUAACUGAUGUGAUACAUGGGAUUGAGAGAAAGAAAAUCUGAUACUAUGAGCCACUUACUGUUCCGCAGCUGCCUCAGCUGGAAAGGUGGUUUUAUAUCAACUUCUAAAUAUUUCUCUGUCCCUCUGUUUCUCUCUCUCUCUCUCUCUCUCUCUCUCUUUUUUUUCUUUAGGAGGCUCUGGUAGGCGGGGAGGAAGGUUUUCUGCUCAAGGAAUGGGGUACGUUUCUUUGAUCCAAUGUAUUUAACUUUUCCCCCCUAAGAAUAUCCAAAAUGUGAUUAGAAUGAUUUCUAGAUUAUUUAAUCAGAAAGAUGUGUAGAUUUAGGGCUCAUUCCUCAGGAAUACUACCUAGGUCAUUAAUCUCUUACCAUAUUGUAUACAUUGAUAUUUGGGUAGGGUGAUAAACAAAGAAAAAGUAGACAGCAUAUAGGAUUAUAAAAUGGGAUAUGAUUGAUCUGUACUAAGAAGAUAGUAUUCCGAUUAUCCUUUGGGUUAAUAUUUGCUGAAGCUGCUUAGAGGUUAGAGACUCUUUUAAGCUUUUAUUUUUUUUCAGAACCUUUAACCCAGCUGAUUAUGCAGAGCCAGCCAAUACUGAUGAUAGUUACGGUAAUAGUAGCGGCAAUACGUGGAACAACACUGGCCACUUUGAACCAGAUGAUGGGACGAGUGAGUAACCAUUUACUGUUAUUUAUUUCUUGUCUCUGGACUUAAGGAAUUUUUUUUGUGUGUGUGUCUAUGUGUAUGUGCAUUUUUGGGGAUUGAAUUCAUAGCUGCCUCCUUGCUAGGCAAACACUGUACCAUUGAGCUAUAUCCCCAGUUCAGGAAAUAAUUUUUUCGAGGUUACAGUUAAAUUUAAAAAGUAAAAGAAUAGUGUUUAGAUUUAGAGAUCUGGGACAAAAGCAGUAGCAAUUAAAUUAUUGUGUACUGAUUACUUACCUCGUGCUUAUGAGCCUAAUAUAUGUGCUAUUUCACUCGGUCUCUUCACUGUUUAUGAAAUAGACAUUAUUUAUCAUCACUUUCCUGAUGAUAAAACUAAGACUGAAAGAGGUUACGAAUUUGCUGGUAGUUGAACUUAGAAUUUUAUGAUUCUAAAAGUCUAUCCUCUUACCGUAAUAUCAUGUGGCUGCUGUUAGUUCCAAGCGUUUCCUAGAGUUUAUUUUGGGGUAGCAUUGGUUUUUGAAAAGUUAUCUAAAAUCAGACAAUCACUUAAUUAAGUCUUUACUUGUAGAGAUGAAUAAUCAAAGUCCACAACUGUUUGUUGAUUUGUUUUCUGGUACCAAGAUAAGAAUAUCCUUUUUUUUUUUUUUGCCUUCAUUUUUGAGAAAUCUCAAUAACUGAGCAAGAAUGAAUUCUCUGACCUCCCUCUGUCUGUCUAAUAGCCUUCUUGCUCUGGUGAAUAUUAUGAGAUUUGGGUAAGAGCUUUUUUGCUAGCUGACUCUGUGUCUGCAUCCAGAUAGGAUGUAAAUGCUUAAGGGUAUGUUAGACUUGUGGGAUAAACCCAGAUGUGUUUUGGAGUAAAAGGUACACGUGUUGCUUUUAAAAAUAGUAGCCUCUAGGCUUCCUGUGAGAUCAUCUACCUUCUGGCAGAGCCAGCACAUGAGAGCCUGAGGCUUUUCCUCUUGUGAAAGGAUCUAGCUUAAUAGUAGGGCCUGAAAUAGGCUCUCUGACGCCUUAUCCAUUUAAAUUUGCCUAGUUUCCUUUCAAAGAUCAAUUAUCUUUAUCUCCGGAUCUUUAGGAGGGUCUUUGGAAAAAACAACUUGUAUUCUGUUGCAUACAAGAUGUUAUACCUUAGGUUUGAAAGUUACCACUUUUUGUUUGCCAAACUGCUACUUCAUGAGCUCAUUUUUAAUAUUUCUCAUGGGGGGGAGGGUGAAGUGGAGGUAUUGGCAAAAGAUAGGUAUCUUGUUAAGUUUCACUAUCAUUCGGCUAUAAAAUGUUCCAAUCUCUUUUACCUUCCUAUACUUAAGAGACAUUAGAAGUGUUCUUCAUUCAUUUCCUGAUGAAUUUGUAGAGGUAGUAUAGUAGCAGUCUCAAUGUCAAAAGUUACUAUUUUCAAACUGUUUGUUCUGGGCUCUUUGGCUUUUCAAUCUUUGCCAGAAAAGAUGAUAAAAAUUUAAGCUAUCUGUUUUUAGUUGGGAAUAUAUAUUCAUUCGUGGCAUUUCAGUUCUUAGCAUUAGGAUCUGGUUGGAAAUACAGGGUAUGAUGAUGUGAAUUUUUAUGUCUGGUGAGUAGAAAAGUAGAUUUUAGAAGUCUGGAAUCAGAAAUCAGUGAUGUGUGACUGAAAAAGAUCAUCUUGUUAGUGUUAAAGUGUUGUAUACUUCAUGCAUUUCCAUCAUUUUGAUUUCAUGAUGUGACAUGCCUUCAUGCAUGACAUUUUUUUGUGUUUUCAUAAUAGUGAACUUCAAAUUGCCUUUUUAAUUUAAAAAUAAAUUCAAACCUACCCUUAAAAUAUCCACAGGUACAGUGGGAAUUAUGUAUUGGGGGCAGAUAUUCUCAUUCACAUGCAAAAUUUCACUGGUUGUUUUUUUCUUUUCUUUUCUUUUUUGUUUCAGGACUUGAUUUCAUUGGGGUUGAGGGGUCAAAUUAUCCCCGAAAAUUUGAGACUGCUCCUGGUAUGAUACAUCCAGGCGCCUAACUGCCCCGGAUAUUUUUAUAGAUUUUUGUGAACUGAAAUAUCUGUGGAUAUGUCAUUUUUCUGUCUUUCUGCUGCUUCUUUCUGCAUUUUUCUCAUAUUCUAUGCCCACUUGUUCUUAUAACUUUGUUCGUUAAAUCAAUAUUUGAUAUUUAACAUACAACUGUGCUUUAUGCUGUGGGAAUGGAAACCCUGAUCUGUUGGCCAGAGCGUUUCCAUCUUAAUAUUCCUUAAUGCUUCCUCAACAUAGUUCUCGUUGUAGCUCUGACUGUACUUCCUGUAUAGGAAAGUAUCAAGUAGGGAUCUACACUCUUCGUUUCUACCUAGUUGAAUUCAACAGAGUGUACAGAGAAUAUUCUUGCAUAAAGGGCAUAGAUCAGAUAACCCCUUAUGUCCCUUCUAAGGCUAAGAUAUUAAGUGCAAACUCAUUUGGGUUCCAUUUAGCCAGGAUGGAAUGGGUGUCAAUGUGGAGAAAGAGUGGUAUCACCAGAGAGGAAGAGGAAUGUGGUUUGUAACUUGUCUAGAGAUUGGACUUUGGUUUUAAAGGGCAUUGUCAUUAUUGAGUGGUUUGGAAUUUCCUUGGUACACUUUUAAGACUUCCUGGGAAGACCAUUACAAUAAAUGUAUUUCCUGUAGGAAACAAGAUUUUUCAUUAUUAAAUGUUUAGAAGAAUUUCAGAUGGAUUUUGAAGGUAUUAGAAUACUUCUCUUCAGUGAAAUAGCUUAUGUGCUAGACAUUCGUUCUUGUAAGAACUUUCCUCCAUUUGGAGAAAAGACCUCAUUAUUCAUUAUGUACUGUUUUAAAGAAGAAAAUAAGGGCUUCCUUGUCCCUUCUUCAGAUAAGUUCUUACUGUGGUCUUUUGGUUGAGGGAAAGAAUAAUGGUUCUCAUAAAAAUUCUCACCCUUUAAGAAAGGGCAUUUUCUUAUUCUGAGGUUAUAUAUAUGUAUAAAGCAAGCAAAAUGGAAUGUGGAGGGUGAUUUCCCUGUAGACCUUUCCUUUAGAAACUGUAACUCAGCAUAUAACAUGAGGAGACUGUAUACCUCCAUCGUCUGUGAAAUGACCUUCACAGGUCUUAUUUCAUCUUUUGUAUGAGUAGGUUAGGAUAAUGUAGCUAUUGUUCAUAUUGGACUUUUCAAUCUCGUCUUCCAAAAAAAUAAAUAUAUAGCACUUUCCUUAUAGUUACUAGUUAAACCAAUAAGCUCAUGAAGUUGACUUCUGAGUAGGCAGUUUUUAUUCUGUCCAUUAUAUAAUAGCAGAUAGUUUUUAGUCUCCUCAGUGUGACUUUCAAACCUCCUCUUUGUCAUUGCCCUGUCACUAACCAUCAUAUGCCAACUAUUUGUAUUUCUCUAAUACUGCUGCUAUCUUUCUUCAGAUUGCCUGCAGAUUUUUUGUCUUAUACCAACCAAAUAAAUAGAUAUAGUUUGCAUGUUCUAGUUUAAAUCCUGCCAUUUUGUUGAAUUGGCUACUAAGUGAGAGUUGAUGGGCUUGAUACUACCUGAGCAUUCCAUCAGAAGUCAGCUUCUCCCCUCCCCCUCCCUGCUUCUCUUUCCUCUCCCUCCUUUCCCUCCCUCUCUCCUGUUAUAGUGUUACAGCUAUGUAACAAAAGCUGAAAGUAGCUAUAAAAUCAUAUUAUUAAAGCCCUGCUACUCUGAGGAGUCACCCUUUCUAAAGAGUCUUUCCCCAUCUCUGAAGCCUAAGAAUUGCUUCUGAUUUGUAAAUUCUGGUCAUACUUUCGACUAUAAAAAAUGUUAACUUGUUAGUAUUUUCUGUAUAUAUUGACUGACACUAAAACCUAUUAUCAUUUCCUUCUUUAUUCCCAGGUGCAUGGAGGACGGCAACAGAGGAGUGGGGAACUGAAGAUUGGAAUGAAGAUGUAGGUAUUCUCAGGUCAUUCCUCAUUCGUGCCUUCUAUCCCUAAGUGGUGUUUAGGGAUAGAAAAUGGGUAUGUUUCUACCCCUCAAAAUGCACCCUUAAGAUUCUGACCCAAAACUUUUACAUCCAAAAUAGUGUUCUGAGCCAGAACAUUUCACAUAUGUUAUAUGAAGGAGACUGGGCAUGAACAGGACUCUGGAACCACACUAUGGAAAGGGCAAGUGCACUUGUGUAAGUCCAAUAUCUGAUUGUCGGAUUUAUCCAAGGAAGAGAUGGUGGUUGGGUAGGGCACCAGAAAUAGAGUUAGGCAGGUAGUAAAUUGAGUAAUAGCUGCCAGUGGCACACGACUCUGCUUGAAGCCUUUCCAUUAUUUGGUAUGAAGUCCUGUAAUGGAUUGGCAAUGGUUACAGAGUCAGAGUUGUAGUAUCAAAUCCUCAAGCUUGCAAUCUGGUUGGUUCUGGUAGCCUUUUAAUUAUUUGAAGCCCAACUUCGUAAUUAUGAUUGAGAUGAAUAUGUGUAGACUUGGCCAAUCUGCCAGCUUGACUGAACUUGGAGACCUCAUAGUGCGUGGCAUACAAACAAGCUCUGUAAAUUCAUUAUUACCCAAGUAAAACAGUUUUGCCAAUUCCUGGUCAUAGUUAAGCUUUUGUUGUGAGUUAUGGUUUUCAAUGGUCUGGAUAAACUCUUAUUUUACCAUUUAGUAAUCUGUUUUCCUAUUUUUAUAUAUAGACAGGCAAGAUAGCUUUUGGGUUAAGUGGAAAUGACAUUUCAAAACUGUUUUAGUUGUUGUUUUAGUCCUAGGUUUUAAAAUUUCAGAUGCAUCAUUAUUAGAGGUUGAUUAUUUUCUGUUGUAACUGAGCUAGACUGCUGUGUGGACUUGGGCAAAUUCUAUUGCUUUUGAGAUUUGGCUUGUUCUGCUUAAGUACCUAUCAUAAUAGAAGACAGGAUGAAUUUCCUGUUUAUUAGAAGAGACAUUUUAAUAAGGAAAUAAACCAAAACAAUGCAAAUCAACUUUUAUAGAGCAGGAAGUGUAAUUUCCUUCAAUUACCUUUCUAAUUUUAGUACCUUAUGAAUGUAAAGACACUGUUAAGACAAAAAUUGCAUUAUAAUUAAAAUUAUCUCCAAAAGACCUUAUCUCACCAGCCCUUGGGCCUAUAUUGCUCAGAAGCAAAAAAAGUAACUUUUUUGUAUCUUUCUUGGCCAUGAUCUUCCUUUCAUUUGUAGAAGUGGGAGUGGGCAAGGGCAAUAGUAGAAGGUAAAUGUGGUUUGGGUAGAAGUGGGAGUGGGAACUCUAAUGGGAAGAUACAAAGGGACUUUUUCUCUUUAUGAUUAGCUUGCAUAUGAACCUGAGAGAUCAUGUGUGUAUGAUGAUGUGACUUCACUGUAUUUUAUUGGAUUCCUUGGUUCUCUCUUUGGAUAAAAUCAUUGACUAUAUAUUGAAGGGGUUUAAAGGUCAAUCCAUUCAAGAUUCCUCAGGGGUAGAUAGUUGUUUCUUCAUAGGGUUUUCCCUUGUUCUUGAUGUUGAAUUUGCUUCUCCUGUGCCAGAUUCUUCCAGUAGAUCCCCUGGCACCACGAGUGAUUAAUUCCUCUGUUUUCUAGCUUUCUGAGACCAAGAUCUUCACUGCCUCUAAUGUGUCUUCAGUGCCUCUGCCUGCGGAGAAUGUGACAAUCACUGCUGGUCAGAGGCAAGUGUGUGGUAAAAGUACCUUUUCCUAAAGAGAUCUGCUGAGGUAGCUGCAAGAAAGUGGCACCGCCCUUCACAAGCUCUCUGGUGUUGAGAAUAAUAAUAAUCACACUAGUUCCCUCUUCAGUUGAAUGGAAGUCCAUAUGUUUCCAUUUUAAAGCUGAUUUUCACUUGAAAUAACCCAUAAUUACAUAGAUCAACCUGUGUUGUCACCAGUAUCGACUGAUUGAAAUCUGGUUGGUUCUGGUAGCCUUUUAAUUAUUUGUAUGUAACUUGUCUUGAAGUAAGCCAGGGAAAGAAAAGCCAAGCUGAAAGUGAAAUGCUAUGUCCCCUACUAUUUAAUAGCUUUUUCUCUUGAUUUAUAAUAAUGAUCUUUGUCUGCUGAUCCCACUGAGAAGUUGGUUCCAUAUCCAUGGGUUCUGUGUCCAUGAAUUAAAUCAGCUAUAUAUCUAUAAAACUACUUAAUUUAGAAGGUUCCAAAGAAGUAUGAUAGGAAUCAGUAAGAAUAGGACACUAAAUAUGUAUAUUACACAUGUGCGCGCAUGCCCACACACACACACACACACACAUUUUUUUUUUGUGUGUGUGUGUGUGUGACACCAAAUAUAUUCUUCCACACUAGUGAUGCAGUUCUCCAACCAGGUGUUUAGCAGUGCAGUUCUGACACUGUCCUGGAGUUGGCACAGAUGCUAAUUUCAGGUUCAGUAGUUCAUGAGAAUGACUCAGGAAAGUGUUAAUUAUCGUUAACCUGUUUAUUAUGAAGGUACAAUUCAGGAAUAGCCAAAUAGAAGAAAUCCGUAGAACACAGUAUGUGUGGGUGCGGGCAUAUGAUUUUCCAUGUCCUCUGCAGGUAUCUGGAAGCUUGACAGAUCUCAUUAUUCUAGAGCUAUAAAUUGUAGACAUAAUUGAUUAAAUCAUUGGCCAUUGAUUAUUGGACUUGAUAGCCAAUUUCACUGCCUUGGAAAUGGGUUGGGUUGGGUUGGGAAGGGCUGAAUAUUCCAAUCCUCAGAUUUGGUCUUUCUAGUGACUCAGAUCCACCAUGGGUUCACCACAUUAGUAUAAACUCAGGUAUGGUUGAAACAAGCUUGUUGUGAAUAAGAAAAGACACAGUGAUGUAGGAAAUUUUUUUUUCUUUUUUUUUGGUCAGGAGUGGGAAUCAAUCCAAGACUAGGCACAUGCUGGGCACAUACUAUACCACUGAACUACACCCCCAGCUUCCUGUUUUUAUUAUAUCACUGAUAACUUUUGAAAUUUUAUAAAACUAGGGAAAACACCUCCAAAAGUCUCCAUUUGAAGAUACCAACAUUCUGGUAUAUGAUUCUUAUAUCUUGGAUAUUAUUAAUGACAAGUAUUUAGUAUUACAGUCACGAACAUACUUGUAGAUUUUGGGCCAAGUAUUGAGCUGCUAAUUAAUAUUUGAUAUUUCAUUAAAUUAAUAACUUUCACUAAAAUGAAAGCCAUUAUUAAUGGCACCUGGUGGAAUUUAGCUAAAUAAUGGCUCUCGUGCAUCAUUUAUUUUGGUAAAUUAAGCAUUUCAGGGCUUUAUAUUUUGAGUUCAUUCAAGAGCACAUCAUUAAGUGGCUUUGCUUUAAUCUAACCAUGAUCUGAAUCAGGUGUCAGAAAAUGCUAGAAAAUGUUCAGUCAUUAUUCAUCAAGAUCUUUCUCUCCCACUAGAAUUGACCUUGCUGUUCUCUUGGGGAAGACACCAUCUUCAAUGGAGAAUGAUUCAUCUAAUCUGGAUCCAUCUCAGGCUCCUUCUCUGGCCCAGCCUCUGGUGUUCAGUAAUUCGAAGCAGAGUGCCAUAUCACAGCCUGCUUCAGGGAACACAUUUUCUCAUCAUAGUAUGGUAAGUUUGAUUUAUCUUGAUCAAACCUUCCCACCAAUUCUACCAUGCUUACCCAGACAUUCCUUCUCCCAAAGGCUAAAAUUUUAAGAAUUCAGCUUUAAGGUCUUACUUGGAUUUAUUGUAUUUAUUUGUAGUACUGGGGAGGAGGAUCCAGGGGCACUUUAUACUGAGCUUCCCCAGCCCUUUUUAUUUUUAAUUUGGAGGCAGGGUCUCACUAAGUUGCUGAGUUUGGCUUUGAACUUGUGAUCUUCCAGACAUUGCCUCCCAAGACACUGGGAUACAGAGAGGCACAAAUGUAUUCUGCAAGAGGUUGAUUUUAUAGACAGAGAAGGGCUGAAAAAACAGAAAUAGGAUAAAAAGUCAUUUCAAAAUUACUUUCUUUGUGAGAUAAGACAGGGAGACAGAAAAAUAGAAAAAUAACCAAUUGGUUAGCAUCAGGUUACAUUUUUUGUGUGUGGAUUAAGACCGAGAAACUUUUAUUACUCACCUAUUUGAAAUUCAGCUGUUGGAACCAGCCUGUUUGGGAAAUUUAGCUGUUUUCUCUCCUAAUUUUUCAGAAAGUCAAGAAACAAUGUAAUUUCAGUUGGAGUUGGAACUUUUAUAUGUGUGACUCUUGAUUUUUUAGUCUGAUUGGUUAGAGUCUAGUGUAGAUUAGUCUAAAGCGGUGGUCUUCUGUGUUUAAGUUUCAAAGACAGGAUUUGUAACAAGGUUAGGCAUCCUCUUUGUUCUUUUAAGCAUCUUUGAGUGUGCAGAUGUUGAGUUGGGUACUAGAGGAUAGCUCUAGAACAAGCCUUAGCUUAUAACAAACUGAGUCAUCUUAAAAAUGAGUUAACAUAAUUUAUUGAAUACACAAUCGUGCUGAACAGUUUCUUAUUACUCCUGAAUAGAGAAAAUCAAUGGCAUCAACUUAAUAAAUUUUGACUCUUUCAGGCUGAGGCCGUGGCUUAGUGGUAGAGUGCUUGCCUUGUAUGUGUGAGGCACUGAGUUCCAUCCUCAGCACCACAUUAAAAUAAUUUUUUGACACUUUCACAAUCCUGAUUAAACUUUGGUGAGAGAUUGUAGUAGUUCCCCAUAUCUCUCUCUUUUUUUUUUUUUGUACCAGGGAUUUAAGUCAGGGGCACUCAACCACUGAGUCACAUCCCCAACCAUUUUCGUGUUUUAGAGACAGGGUCUCACUGAAUUGCUAAGUGCCUCACUAAGUUGCUAAGGCUAGCUUUGAAUUCUCGAUACGCCUUCCUCAGCCUCCUGAGCUGCUGGGAUUCCAGGUGCACGCCAUUCCCCACUUUUUGAUGAAGUAAAAUUAAAAUCGCCUUAUGUGGGGUUUUUUUUUUUUUUUUGAGAAUUUUUUUUUUAUAUUUAUUUUUUUAGUUUUCGGCGGACACAACGUCUUUAUUUGUAUGUGGUGCUGAGGAUCGAACCCAGCGCCGCGCGAAUGCCAGGCGAGCGCGCUACCGCUUGAGCCACAUCCCCAGCCCCCCCUUAUGUGUUUUUAUUUUAUUUUUUUUUUUAUUUAUUUAUUUUUUUUAUUUUUAUUUUUUUUUUUUUUUUAAAGAGAGAGUGAGAGGGAGAGAGAGAAUUUUUAAUAUUUAUUUUUUAGUUCUCGGCGGACACAGCAUCUUUGUUGGUAUGUGGUGCUGAGGAUCGAACCCGGGCCGCACGCAUGCCAGGCGAGCGCGCUACCGCUUGAGCCACAUCCCCAGCCACCCUUAUGUGUUUUUAUAAACCAUACAUUUGUAUAUUAGGUUUCUAAAAUCUAGGGUUUUUCCAUAUCACAACUUGUUAGCUGUGUUUCCCCUUGUCUGAAAAUGGGAAUAAGAGUGCUUGUUCUUCCUGUCUUGGGGGGGCCUCAGGAAGAUAAUUAAACUAAUUGAUACCAAUUAUACAAAUGUGGCAAUGGUAGUGGCAUUUUAAAUAACCUAUCAUGCAUAGUACACACAACUUCUUGAUUUACAACAUUUAAAAAAAUAAAGGAAGCCAGAUACAGUUGUGCAUGCUUGUAAUCCCAGGGACUUGGGAGGCUGAGGCAAGAGGAUCACGAGUUCAAAGCUAGCCUCAGCAAAAAGUGAGGCGUUGAACAACUCAGUGAGACCUUGUGUCUAAAUAAAAUACAAAAUCAGGCUGGAGAUGGCUUAGUGGUUGCAUGCCCCUGAGUUCAAUCUCUGGGACAUAAAUAAAUACGUAAGUAAAGGAGGGCUGGGGAAAUAGCUCAGUUGGAGAGUGCUUGCCUCAUAUGCACAAGGCCCUGGGUUCGAUCCUUAGAGCCACAAAAUAUUAUUUUAUUUAUUAUAAUUUAAACAAAGAUAAUUACAAGAACCAAUUAUAGUCAAUAAAUCCUGUUACUCCUUUUUUUAAAAAAAUUUUUUUGUAGUUGGAGAUAGCAUGCUUUUAUUUUAUUGUCAUUUUUAUGUGGUGCUAAGAAUUGAACCCAUUGCCUCACACAUGCUAGGCAGGUGCUCUGCCACUGGGCUACAGCCUCAGCUCCCUAAUUUACUCCUUUUUUUUUCCCUUUCUUUGUUUUUUUGGUGGAGGGUUACUAAGAGUUAUGAGAGGUAAGCAGACCUUUUAUGUGAAGAUAAUUUUAUUUUUCCAGUUUUAUUAAUUAUUUUAAUUUAGAAAACUGUUGAGGUAGCUACUAAUCCAGAACUGUCUCAGUUUUUAACUAUUGUCCUUGAAGUUUUUUUGUUUUAAAAUUUUUUCUUUUGUGUUAAUUCAGAAGUGGAGGUGGUUGUUUUGCCACAAAGGUAACAGGUGAGGAAAAUAUUGGGGUUGGAAAGAAAAUAGAAUGCUGGUGGUAAGGUGUGAUGAAAAUCAGGAAGUGUUACAAAUCCCUAAAAUACAUGACUAGAUCCGUGGUCAAGUGAUGUAUGCCUCUUUUAACUGCCCUCUUAAUGUUUGGAAUUGUGAAUAUGCACGAAAAAAUCAAAAUUUUAAUAUUUUAAAUAUUUUAAAAUUCAUUGUGUCAUAUUCUAUGCAUAGGAUUUCUGUAAAAACUUAUAAAAUUUUAUAGGACACCUACAAAAUUGCCCAAUUUAAGUGGAGGUUUUGUUGUUGAUGCUAGUCCCCCCCCAAAAAAAAUAUUGGAAAUUGAACCUAGGGGUGCUCAGACAUUGAGUUCAUCCCAACCCUUUUUAUAUUUUUUAUUUUGAGACAGGGUCUCACUAAGUUGCUGAGGCUAGCUUUGAACUUGCGGUCCUCCUGCCUCAGUCUCCAGAGUCACUGGGAUUAUAGGUGUGUACUACCAUGCCUGGCUUCAAUAUAAUUUUUUUAAAAUUUUUUUAAUAUUUGCUUUUUGUAGUUGUAGUUGGACACAGUACUUUAUUUAUUUGUUUUUAUGUGGUGCUGAGGAUCGAACCCAGGGCCUUGCACUUGUGAGGCGAGCACUCUACCACUAAGCCACAACCCCAGCCCUCAAUAUUUAAAUUUUUAUAGGAAUAUCAAAAAGAUGUUUUUAGUAAACUUCCAUGUUUCCUUAACAUUCUAUUUAAUGUGUGCCGAUAGGUGAACUAAAUAUAAAUAGUAUUUUGUUAUUCUCAUUACCUUUAUUUAAUCAAUAUUAUUUAAUGUAACUUUUUUCAUUGAGCAUAAUAUUAGAGAAUUGAUUUCCUUUAAUAUUUAUUAGAUCUAGAUAAAGGAGUUUGUAUUAUGUAUAAAAUACAAUGGACAUUAUGUAAUUUUUCUGUCUUUAAUUUUUUGUGCUUGGCAGAAUAUUUUAGUUGCAUUAGAUCAUCUGUGUCACAGUCCCUCACUUUAAACUAGACUUCUCAGAUUAUUUUGUUUUGGUAAUGGGGAUUGAACCCAGGGACGCUUAAAACCAGUGAGCCACAUCCCCAGCCCUCCCCCAAGCCCCCCCUUUUUAAACAAGGUUUUGUUAAGUUGCUUGGGGCAUCAACCUCCUGCGAUACUGAGAUUAUAAGUGUGUGCCAUUGUGCUUGGCUCAAGUUUUUGUUUGAAUAAUCUUGGGAUAUAGCUCAAAGUGGGAAGGAAAAAACCUUACCUUGAGUUGAAUAGACAGGUGUUCUAUAAGAAAGCAUUGCUGAUGAUGACAUGCUACAUUUAAACAAGUACCUGAGUAGGACAAGAUUAAUUCUCCUUGAAGUUUUUUGUUUGUUUAUAUGUUUGUUUUUUGAGGCUAGUCAAGGUCAUGAGGUUGAUCUUUGGACUUGGCUGAUAGUUUUCCUUGGUAAUGGGGAACAGAGAAAUCCCCAAAAGUGUUAGAGUAAAAUUUUGCUUAGUUAUCAUGCAGUGAUUCUAUAAAAAUAAUCAAGCCAUUGAGUUGUCAAUUUUAUCUAGUGCAGAAGUUGGGAUGGCCCUUUAAUUUCUCUUUGCCUAUAAGCUAGUUAUGAGCAGCAUUCAGUUUUUUGUUUCUUUUGGAUUGUUUAGUGGUAGGGGCAAGGAUAUAAUGACAAAAGUAAAAUUUUAUGUCACUUUUGUAUUAAUUUAAUAAUCAAGUAUUAAUUUAUGUAAAAAUCUUGAAGGGGGGGAACUCUCCAGUUAUCAAGGCAUUAUCCCUAAGAUGGAGAAAGUGAUGGUGAUUAUAAGUUUUUAAGGGCUAUCAUCUUUUAAAAAUUUAGAUUUGUUGAAUUAAUAUAUAAAAAAAUAAAAUUAUGCAUAUUAGUGGGGGUUUUAAUAUGUAUUGCUCUAGUUUUCUUGAGCCCUGUGUUCCAUGUACAUGUUAAGUACAGAUAUAUUAUUUGUUAAAUCCUGAUUAAACUUUAUGAAGUGUACUACUACUAUUUAUAUUUUCAGAUGAGGAAACUGAGGCAAAGAGACUUUAAAAUAAAUUUUCUGUGGUUGCAUACCCAGAAUUCGAAUCGGAUUGUCUGACUCUGAAUCUUAAACUCAAUGGACUAUGCUAUAUACUCAGUCUUAUAGCAUUCUGUUUUGAAAUGGGGUGUCAGAGUGUUGCCCAGGUUUUUCUUGAAUUCCUGAAUCUGUGAUCCUCCCAAGUAGCUGGGACUGUAGACAUGUGCCAUGGGCCCGGCUUAGUAGCAUUCUUCAUUUGUUUGAUUCAUACUAGCUUUCAAACUGGAUAAGUGUCUUUCUUUAGCAGACAAGUUCCAGGCUGUAAAUCUCUCUGUUGAUCUCCAGGUGAGCAUGUUAGGAAAAGGAUUUGGUGAUGUCGGUGAAGCUAAAGGUGGCAGUACUACAGGCUCUCAGUUCUUGGAGCAGUUCAAGACUGCUCAGGCCCUGGCUCAGCUGGCAGCUCAGCAUUCUCAAUCUGGAAGCACCACCACCUCCUCUUGGGACAUGGCCUCAACGACACAGUCCCCAUCACUGGUGCAGUAUGGUAAGAAGAUGUGAAGUGACUUGAAUCCCUUAUGUGUUGGACUAUUACUGUGAAGAAGCUGGUGAGGGGAGUGGAAAAUGUAUCCCGAUGAGAGGGGUAGCUCUCUCUGGUUUUGUCAAAGAGUCUGAGUUCAGAAAGUUGGGAAAUAAUAAAAAUUUGAAGCUAUGUGUCUCUGUCAUUAAAUUUUUUUGUUUGCAUAGGAUUUUUUUAAAUUACUUUUAAGUUUAUGUGUUUGAGAAUGUGUUGCCUUUGGGCUCAUGGAGUUGGCCAUUUAAGACCUUAUACUUUAAAUUCGAGCAAUUCAUGGAUUCCUGUUUUGCACAGGCAUAGUAAUAGUAUUGAUUUGAUUAGGCUAUUUUUAAGAAUGGAUAAGAUCAGUGAUUGUUGCCUAUAGAAAUGAAAUGAGAUUCAUUCCUAAAAGAAAACCUGUCUAUAUGAGUUUCUGGUCUUUGAGGGUCUGGUUCAUGGCAUUAGUGCAAGACAGUAGCCUUUCCUUGAAAUGUAUUGGAACCUUGAACCUCACACCUGUUGGGUUUCCUUUUGCAGAUUUAAAGAACCCAAAUGAUUCUACAGUACACAGCCCCUUUACAAAGCGCCAGGCUUUCACCCCAUCUUCAACCAUGAUGGAGGUGUUCCUUCAGGAGAAGCCACCUGCAGUGGCCACCUCCACCGCUGCACCUCCACCCCCCUCUUCUCCUCUGCCAAGUAAAUCCACCUCGGCUCCACAGAUGUCUCCUGGGUCUUCAGACAACCAAUCCUCCAGCCCUCAGCCAGCUCAGCAGAAACUGAAACAGCAAAAGAAAAAAGCCUCACUGACUUCUAAGGUAUUUGAACUUUUUAGGUAGCUGUUACUGCAAGGAAGUAUUGGAUUUGUAAAUUAGGUUGAUAUGGGUUAACUUUGGAAAUUUGAAAUCAAAGGGAAUAUUUACUAACAUUUCCAUAGUAAGAUUGUAUUGAACCAUUGUAUUUUCUUCUCCUUUACCCUUUUUUAUAGAUUCCUGCUCUGGCUGUGGAGAUGCCUGGCUCAGCAGAUAUCUCAGGGCUAAAUCUGCAGUUUGGGGCAUUGCAGUUUGGGUCAGAGCCUGUCCUUUCUGAUUAUGAGUCCACCCCCACCACGAGCGCCUCUUCAAGCCAGGCUCCAAGUAGCCUAUAUACCAGCACGGCCAGGUAGUAUAAACAUUAGUCUUUUGCUAAUUGUUCUAAAUCUCUUGCUGAGACACUGUUCUUUUAACUGGCUGGGAGAAAAGUAAUGAAUUACAGCAUUUUGUUGAAUACUUUAAAAUGGCGUUAUUAGGGCUGGGCUCAGUGGCAUAUGCCUAUAAUCCCAGAAACUUGGGAGGCUGAGGAAGGAGAAUUGCAAAUUCGUGGGCAGCUUCAACAAUUUAAUGAGGCCCUUAGCAACUUAGCAAGAUCCUAUUUCAAAAUAAAUUAUGAAAUAAAAGAGCUGGGGAUUAAUGGUAAAGUGCUUCUGUGUUUAAUCCCAACUACAAAAAUAACAACAAACAUUUUCACUAGGAUUAUCUGUAACUUUAAGCACAUGGAAACCUGGGAUGGUGGUGCACACCUGUAAUCCCAGCAGUUUGGGAGACUGAGGCAGGAGGAUUGCAAGUUCAAAGCCAGCCUCAACAACUUAGUGAGGCCCUAAGCAACUCUGCGAGAUCUUGCCUAUAAAUGAAAUAAAGGCAUAUUAAAAAAAGGCUGGGGAUGGGUUUUAGUUGUUAAGUGCCCCUGGAUUCAAUCCCUGGUAUAAAAAACAAAAACAGGAAAAUAAUGGUGCUUGGGUACUUGAAGAAUGUUGCUCAUUUUUUGAAAGACAGAACAGGACCUCUAACAUUUAAAGUACCUGGACCUAUAUCACAGCUGAAAGUGCUUUUGGCAUUCCUUUUUAGCCCUUUGGUGUGAGAUUAUGCCUGUGAAGUGUAAAACUUUGAACUCCUAGAAAGGAGAGAAUUGUAAGGAACCUUAAAAGGAACCUUUUAUACCUCCUCUGCUCAACAUCAAGUAAGGUUGUCUUUAGCAAUAGAAAGUCCUGAGGAAUUUCAGGGAGUAGAUUUUUUUAUAUUUGGAAUUUAAAAAUACAAGUAUCUGGCCCUAAUUUAGGUCUGUGGGGUCAUAAUUGCCAAUUAAUACAUGCAAAUGUUUUUAAAAAUUCUUCUCAAAGAAUUGUACCAGUGAUCUUAAAUUUAAUAAAAUCAUUGGAGUCUAAAGCUCAAAAUUCCUUAAAAUGAGUUUGAGCUAAAACAAAGUCUUCCUGUGCUGAGGGCUCACAUUGUGAUUUAUAGAAGGGACCAAGAGUACUAUAUCCUUUCCACUGACCUUUGAUUUCUUUUUCUUAAAACAUAAAAUGUGAGGGAAGGAAGAGGCUUUUCUCUGCUUCAAUUUGAAGAUGUUUCUAAGCUUUAUGCUUAAUUCAAAUCCCUGGCACAUUAGAAUGUGGGAUCUACUGUUGUCAGGAGAAAAUUGUGGUAGUGUUUUUGUUGUUGGAAAUUUUCUUUUGAUGUUAGUUUAUUCCACUCUUAGGUCUCUGCCAUUUCCUUAGUAUCUGUUCUCUUUCCUUUCACUGAGAUUUUUCCUCUUUUCAUUUCCCACAGUGAAUCUUCAUCUACAAUUUCAUCUAACCAGAGUCAGGAGUCUGGUUAUCAGAGUGGCCCAAUUCAGUCGACAACCUAUACCUCCCAAAAUAAUGCUCAGGCCCCUCUAUAUGAGCAAAGAUCCACCCAGACUCGGCGGUACCCCAGUUCCAUCUCUUCAUCACCCCAAAAGGACCUGACUCAGGCAAAGGUAGUAGCCGCAUGAGCCCCUGGAUAGAGGUUAGAGAAACAGUGGGCAAAAGUCUCUUAAGUAUUAAAUAUUAGCAUUUUACUUCUCAGAAAGUGGUGCCAAGAAAUCUUGGAAGUGCUGAUUGAGAAGCUGCAAACACAUUUCUGUGAUUGGUAAAAUAAAAGUUUUCAGCAAUCCUGGAGACUCAGUCAGAAAACCAUUUUCUUUGCAGUAAAGAUUGUCUCUAGUAGAAUCAAAUAUCUGUCCUUUCUUGGAACAUCUAAUUGCUAGAUUUUUGGGUACAUAUCAGUAGAUCUUACUUUGCUUUUUCUUGGCUUUGUGAGAAGGACAGCAUAUGCUAGAGGUGGUAUUGAGUGACUGUCUUGUGCAGCCAGCAGGAUAAAUGGUUUGGCUGAACUGUCAUUCCCACAUCCUCCCACAAAGAUCAUUGGGUUUGGACUUUGGGCCUUUUAUGUACCUGUUUUGGGGUUGGGGUAUCUUCACCUGUUUGGGGGUUGUCUUCUGUUGCUGUUAGCCACACAGGCUUAGUAUAUCUGGUUUUUAUUGUUUUUAAUUUUUGUUUUGUUUGUUUGUGUAGUCUUGUAUUAAUCCUUUAGUUAACUAGCAGAAUUUCUCCCAAAUGUUUGUUAACUAGAAUUAAGCUGAGUUAGUAUUAAACUUCCCCCAUUCACAUGAGUUUGUCUGUUCUUGCUCCUCUGUUUUCUUGCUCCAGAAUGGCUUCAGUUCUGUGCAGGGCACGCAGUUACAGACCACGCAAUCUGUUGAAGGUGAGUAUUCUCCAGGCUUUUUAUUCUCAGUUGUUUUUUUCUUUCUCUUAAUAUUUUUGUAUUUCUUAAAAGUGAAAAGAGCUCUGGCACGAGGACUGGUUAGUCUUAAUUCUACUUUGCUGCUUAAUCUCCAGCCUUCCUAAGUUUCAGGUUCUCUGUCUUAAAAUGGUAACCAUUUUAUUGGUUCCCGUCACUGGACAAAUGAAAUUCACAUGCAAAGUGCCUAGAAUUAAAAAAGAUUAUACCAUUAUUAAAUAACUCAUACUGUUGUCUUUGGGGCAGCAUAGGACUGUAGUGAUUCUUCACGUUAGACAUUUUCUUUUCUUCUGGUGAGAUGGAUUCUUUUAUUUCUAGGUGCUACAGGCUCUGCAGUGAAAUCUGACUCACCUUCCACUUCUAGCAUCCCCCCUCUCAAUGAAACGGUAUCUGCAGCUUCCUUACUGACAACAACCAAUCAGCACUCAUCCUCCUUGGGUGGCUUGAGCCACAGUGAGGAAAUUCCAAAUACCACCACCACGCAACACAGCAGGUGAUUUGGGGUGAGGAUGGAGUUUGGGGUGAGGAUGGAGCUCUCUGGUUCUUUUUCUUUCUAACUGGCAAAGACCACAUUAGCCCCACUUUUGGGUAAAUGGGUGACCUGAAAACUGUGAGAGAUAAAGACAAAGAGACUUAUUUUAUUUUUUCCUUUCAGCAUCUACUUUUGUUUUAACUGUUGCUUACUAUCCCUGGCUGGCUCUUGUGCUUAUUACCAUUUUCUCAAGACUUUCUUGUUCCUAUGUUCUACCUUAUUUUCUUGCUUGUGUUCUUGAUUAAAGCUCCAGGCCAGGUGGCCAUAGCACUGUUGUUGAUGGCACCCUCUUUCCUUACAGCACGUUAUCUACACAGCAGAAUACCCUUUCAUCAUCAACAUCUUCUGGACGCACUUCGACAUCCACUCUUUUGGUAAGUAUGAUGCUGAAAGGAAGUGUGGUUCUUAAGCUUUUCUUAAACUAGCCAACCCUAAGAUUCUGCCAAGAGGGAAUUCUUGAUCAUUUCUUCAUGAGAUGAUAAAACUCAUUGAAUUGAGGUUGCAGAGAAACGAAUAAGGGGUUGUUGGGAAGCCAAAAGAAGCCAAAGAAUCCAGAAAUAAUGCAGAGCUAUGAAUCAUUCCUUAAAGCCUGGAAGGGACACCCUCCAUCCCCCAUUCCUGUGUUGAAGAUAAGGUAUAUGUUACAAAAGAACAUACCUUUCUAGGGGCUAGUGGUAUAGCUCAGUGGUACUGUAUGGGUUAGUGUGCAUGAAGCCCUUGGUUUAAUCCCCAGCACCAAAAAAAAGGAGAGUGGGGUGGAAAGAAAAGGACAAAUCUUGCUAACUGGUAGAGCUUGUGUUUCUCUUUCCUUAAAACACAACAUCAAGUUUAAAGUCAGCUGUAUGUUAUUCUAGCCCAUGAACUAGAGAAGAAAAGUGUGUGAGAGAAGGCUAUGAUACAUUUUUCAGAUUUCAACUUUAUUUGACAGGUCAACCAGUGUUGGUCUCCACCAACACUGGAGUUGUCACCACCCACUUUGCUGUCUUUCUUAACAGGAUGAUGGUAUAUGAGUCUGUAUUAAUAACCAUCCUUGUCACAUGAGUCUUUAGAAACAUGCAGCUAGAGAGUUUUUGUACCUUGGUAGAGGAGACUCUGUUAUUAUGCCCUGACCUUUUUAAUUGGGAAGUUGUUGUGAUGAUCAUAUUCAAGAGAAUAGAUUGUUUAUCAUUCCUAACCUAUAUUGCUAAUUGGUGCUUCCUUCAUCUCUCUUCCAUUGCUCCUCCCUUUUGAAGCACACAAGUGUGGAGAGUGAGGCGAAUCUCCAUUCUUCCUCCAGCACUUUCUCUACCACGUCCAGCACAGUCUCUGCACCUCCCCCAGUGGUCAGUGUCUCUUCCAGUCUCAACAGUGGCAGCAGUCUGGGCCUUAGCCUAGGCAGCAACUCCACUGUCACAGCCUCAACUCGAAGCUCGGUUGCUACAACUUCAGGUACCUUUGCAUUAGCUGCAUGGCAUUCCUCUAGGAUGGAGGGAAUCAAUAAUUGUGUGAUAGCAUAAAAAUGUUUUUUCUCUUUUAGGAAAAGCUCCUCCCAACCUUCCUCCUGGGGUCCCGCCAUUGUUGCCUAAUCCAUAUAUUAUGGCUCCAGGGCUGUUACAUGCCUACCCAGUAAGUAGGAUUGAAGGGUUUGUUCUAAAAGGUGGUGUUGGUGGGACUAUUCUUUAUAGUUCUGGCUUCAGGCAGUAGACUGUAAUUACAAUACAGAAAAAAAUGCCACAUAUAAACAAAUAGGUUUCUUGGGUGGGGGUGAGUAGUAGGGAUUGGACUUGGGAGCAACCAACCACUGAGCCACAUCCCCAGCCCUAUUUUUUUUUUAAUAUUUAUUUUUUAGUUGCAUUUGGACACAGUACCUUUUAUUUUAUUUAUUUAUUUUCAUGUGGUGCCAAGGAUCGAACCCCAGGGCCUCACACGUACUCACCACUGAGCCACAACCCCAGCCCUAUUUUUUAUUUUAUUUAGAGACAGGUCUCACUGAGUUGCUUAGUGCCUGGCAUUUCUGAGGCUUGCUUUGAACUUGGGAUCCUCCUAUCUCAGCCUCCUGAGCUGCUGCGAUUACAGGCAUGCGCCAUUGCACCUAGCACAAGUAGGUUUUGAAUCUUUGUAGCUUUGGAAAAAACAAUCAUUUUUAGAGAGGAAAGACUAAACUUGGGCAAGACCCUCUAUUGUGUAUUUGCUCUGUGUGAAAUAGAAAUUCUAGGCCUCAGAUGCCAAAGGCUAAAACGUUCAUCUGGAAUUCCUUUCAGUUUCUUGGAGAAUUGUUUUUUGUAGAUGAACUGAUUUCCUUACUCUGGGGAUCUUUGCUGCCUCUAACCUGGUCAGAAGAGAGUUCCCCAGCUCACUGUGGAAUUGUCUUGAGAAUAAAUGGCUGACAUUGUUGACUUUUUUUCUCAGGUAUAUCUUCUGUUACCUCCAGGUAUUCAGUACCUCUUAAGAUGGAGGGUAUGAAAAUUCUAUUAAAAGACAACUGUACUUCCCCUGAAAGUGGAAGUCUAGAUAAACAUCAUACAGACAAGAUUGUCCAAAUAACACUGUUGGACAUUGUUUAACAACACUGCUUUAUCUUGAAAUUGGGAGAAAACAAGAGUAAAAUCUGAAUCUUUCAUGGAGAAAAUAAAUUUUAAACCAGAUGUAUAGAUUAGAGAGUAAAGGCAGGAAGAUUCCAUUCAUAGAAUAGAGAGAACAGAUAGCUGUUCAUAUACUUGUGUCUAUUGUACUGCUUCCCAGAAAUGGUCUAGAUCAAUCAGUAGUAAGUAGCUCAACGAAAGUUUCAAGAUCUUUCAUUAAUCCUUUAAUCUCUACUUUUACUUUCCCUUUAAGUAAAUUGAAGGAAAUAAAUCUUUUUUUUUUUUCCUUUUGGUAGUAUUGGGGAUUGAGCCCAGGGCCUUGUUCGUGCUAAGGAAGCACUGAACUACAUCCCUAGCCCAAGGAAAUAAUCUAUGUCCUGUUCAAAGAAGGACGGUGAAUAAUGUAUUGAAUUAUCUUGCUUUUUAGCUCCUUGGGUUUUUUGUUUUUAAUCAUUUAUGACCAUUUCUCAUUAAUGUCACAUGCCUUUGUCUUUCAGCCACAAAUGUAUGGUUAUGAUGACUUGCAGAUGCUUCAGACAAGAUUUCCAUUGGUAAGUAUGUGGAAGGGAACUCUGGUAAAGGAGGUGAUCUAAAAAUUAGUUUUGUUUUUUUUUUUUGGUGCUUGGGAUCAAACCUAGGUUCUCACAUAUGCUAAAGCACAUGCUAUUACUGAGCUACACCCCCAGCCCAAGUGGACUACUACAACUAUACAUUUUCUACCAAUGUCAUAUCUUGUUUUUUAAUAUUUUGUGUCAUUAGAGAUUCAACUCAGGAGCUAGUGCACGCCAGGCAAGCACUUUACCAUUUAGGUAUACCCCACUCCCCAGAGAUGUGAAAUCUUUGAAGUAAACAGAUUUUAACCUACUCUGUAGCCUAAUAAAGUACUCAGGAGCUCUCAAGAUGCUUUCAAGAUGCUUUCUAUAUGUCUCAAACACUUAAAAUUACAGAAAAAAAAAUAUGUUUUUCAAGAUAAGUUUGGCAUAUGCUUUUAGAGAUGAUGUGUGGAGGUUGAAAAUAUUAUUGGUCCUGAUGGAACUUUAGCAGGCAUAUCCGUAGACCUUGCCUGGCUCUGCUUAUGGCCAGGCAGGGGGGACAGUAUAUGCAAGAAUAAUAUGGAGUUUAUGCAAACUCAAACCAGCUUCUUCGGUAGCUGGGUAAAUCGCAGUACUCCCGACAUUUUUGUGCUUCUCACCUGUGGUUUUCAUGCUGGAGAAUGAAUAGCAUUGAGUCUGUGCUCUUUUGUUACUCGGUUCUAGGAUUACUACAGCAUCCCGUUUCCCACGCCCACCACUCCGUUGACCGGGAGGGAUGGUAGCCUGGCCAGCAACCCUUAUUCUGGUAUGACUGGGACGGGGCCAAAUAAAGGGAGAGGGAGAUUGUAUUGGGAUGAAUGGCAAAACCCUGCUUAAUAGCAAGAAAGGACCUGGUUCUCACCUUACAUGUCUCUGGUAGAAGUUUAAAAUGGACGUGAUGAAUUGGUUGGUAGAUUCACAGUCCUGUUAAAGAUGAGCGUUUGGCAGCUUUUUUCCCUUUCCAUCUCACUUGUCUGUGAUUUCUAAAUCCUUCUCUCUCUCUCUCUCACACACACACACACACAUCUUACCUAAAAACAUUUUUUUCCCCUUUGGUUCUGGGGAUUGAACCUAGGGUCUCACAUCUAUACUAAGCCUGUGCUCCAUCUUCUGCCCCUCCAGAUGACAUUAUAACUUAGGUUUUUCAGCUUGUUCCAGAAAGUAGUGGUUGAACUGGUCUUCUCUGCUUCUGUACAUUGCUCACAGUGGCAGUCUCAUUGUCUUGCUAGACCUUCUUUUUUGGCCUGACUUUCUUGGCAUCCUCCUUGAUCAUUUUUUCUUAUCUGUCUCUGUCCCUUCAAGUGUAGCAUGGAGUGUUUCCCAUGGAAGAAAAUAGGGGCUGGGAGUGAAAGAAUACAAGAAGGUAGAGAAAUAAUGUAGGAACUUUUUCCUGGGAUCUUCUUUUUGCUAUAGCAAAUAUACUCAGCAAUAGUCUUUAACUGGCACUGUAGUCUAUACUCAACUAUAGUUUAUACUCAACAACAGUCUUAACUGGCACUAUGCUAAAUGUAUUCUGAGCAAUGCUGAAUGGAGCUUCAAAGAAAUAUAAUUUAAGGAAUUGAAUUUUAAAAGUCUUUGAACAGGAUCUCUUGGAAUCAUGUGAAACCAAGAGGUGACUUGUGUUGCAGUGAAAGAAACGGGUACAUUUAGCUUCUUCUGUCACAGGUGACCUCACAAAGUUCGGUCGUGGGGAUGCCUCCUCCCCAGCCCCGGCCACAACCUUGGCCCAACCCCAACAGAACCAGACGCAGACUCACCACACCACGCAGCAGACAUUCCUGAACCCGGCGCUGCCUCCUGGCUACAGUUACACCAGCCUGCCAUACUACACAGGGGUCCCGGGCCUCCCCAGCACCUUCCAGUAUGGGCCUGCUGUGUUCCCUGUGAGUGCCUAGCCUUGGUCUCCUUGUGGUGAAGGCUUCUAUCCCUGACACUAUCCUAGCUGUGCUUUCAAAGCUAGAUGAGUCUAGUAAUGAAUGAGGGAGGAACAGUUUCCACAUUGGGCUUUCUUCUGGCCUGGGAAGGGGGAGUGGGAUUGGAAUUGGUUGAAUUAUAAUAGGGAUUAACUUUUUCUAGAAUUAGCCAGAGGGGAAUGUGAUACCAUACAGCUUUGCUUUCCUCAGAUGGCCAUGUAUUCCCUGAUAGCACUCCCCCUUUUCCUUCCUUCAAAUUGUCUCUUGAUUUCAAAGGUAGAUUAUGGAAAUAUUAGUAAGGAUCUUAUUUCACUAUUCAAAUUAUGGCCAGCCUAAAUCAGGAUUCAUAGCCACCUGAACACCUGGGCCCUGGAGUAGGACAGGUGAAACUGAUGGUGCAUGCUGCCAUUUCACUGCAGUUCUGGCCCUUUUGCUCUUCAGGUGGCUCCUACCUCUUCCAAGCAGCAUGGUGUGAAUGUCAGUGUGAAUGCAUCAGCCACCCCUUUCCAACAGCCGAGUGGAUAUGGAUCUCAUGGAUACAAUACUGGUAAGCUCCCCGUGGCCCUGGUUCAGUGUCUCUGUGAGGUGUUACUGGGUUGGUGAGGGUGUUCUGCUCUCUACAUAUGAUUAUUGAUGCUUGGCUGAAUUGGAUAUCUGGGAGCAUCAUCAGCAGAGGCUCUUGACUCUAGGAAAUGCUGUUACUACACAUGAUUAGAAUGCUCAGGGGCAUUUUUGGCCGCUAAAAUAUGUUGUCUGGCCUAAACUUUGGGUUAAAAGGAGGACAGGGCCCUAAGAUUUUGCUGAGAUAUCAGUGGAGGCAAGUGUUGUGGCACUGUAUAAAAGAGGAUAUAUUCACUGAAAAGAAAGGAUAAAUGCUUUCAUAGCUAACAAUAUGAUUAAUAGGCUUGGCUUAAGUCUUUUUGUAGUACUAUUAUUAUUACUAUUCCCCUUUCAUUCCUAACUAGAAGACCUAAGAUAUGGAGAGAGAGGAUAGGCAUGACCACGCAGUAGAGACAGAAUUAGACUGGGAGGUUCCUUCGUUUGUAUGACUGGUCUUCUUAAAAAGCCUAUUUGCAUAUCUGAUGGCAGGGAGAGAAUUGUAGGAAUCCUCUGGAUAAGUAAUGACCUAAAAGAUACUUAGCUUAUCACUUAUUUCCAUAUCUGACAUCCAUGCUCCACUUUUGAAGGUGGAAGUGGAGGAGACAUUGAAUAAAACCGUUUCAUCUACAUUUUUCAGUGACUUACAGGCAUAUAUGAGGAGGAGCCUAUUGUAGUUGCUAGGGGUUGGGGUUGAGGAUUGUCUUUUCAAAGCUCAGUUAGUUUCAAGGUGAUUUGGAUGGAGCAACAUCUGUGUGGGCUCCAGAUGAGUAAAUUGCUCAACAUUUUAUUUAUUUAUUUUUUGGUACUGAGGAUUGAACCCAGAGACAUUUUACCACUGAGCUAUAUCCCCAGUCCUUUUUAUUUUUUGAGAUAGGGUCUCACUAAGUUGCUGAGACUGGCCUCAAACUUAGAAGCCUCCUGCUUCAGCCUCCUAAAUUGCUAGGAUUAGAGACAUGCAUCAAUGCACCCAGCUCAAAAUUUUCAGUAAUUGGGAAACUGUCUUAAGCUGAGCACAGAAGGUAAUAAAGACUAGUUUUAGGAAUUAAUAGCCAGGUGGAGCUUUGGACUGUGCCUUAUGACUUAAGAGUGGGUCAUAAUAAAUUUUAAAAAUCCUGAGAAAAGCCCCAUUAAGAUUUACUACCCAGGUUCUUUGGGGCCACUGCUGUCACUGAGUAAGGUCUUGUUGAUGAUGGGAGGAUUAUAAGCCUUUUGACUUGGCCCCAUUCCAGGAACAUUAAAAUUAAACUUCAGCUGGUCCAGGUAUGAGAAUUUUCAGAGGUAAGGUAGGUGGUUGAUAAUGUAAGACAGUUGGCAUAUCUGAUUCUGGAAAUCCUAGCUUCUUACCUCCCUUAAUAUUUCAGAAACCUGUUAGUUCUUUGAGAACCCCCAAUUCCCAACCCCACAGAGGGCUCUUGUCAUUCCAUUCCUCAUCAACCUCUAAAUUCAUGUAUUUUUAUGUAUUUGAUUCCUUUUAGGAAGAAAAUAUCCACCCCCUUACAAGCAUUUCUGGACGGCUGAGAGCUAAUUUGGCCCAAGGCUGGGGGCUGUGUUUUGUGUGUGUGUAUAAAUUUGCACUGAAGUCUUGUUUCAGAAACCAGACCACUGAGGAGAGCCUGCUGAGCUGAGGCCAUGGCCUGCGUGGCUUGGGGAAAUGAGUUGGUGGAUAUCUUCUGGGCUUUUGAACUUGCCCCCUCCCCAUUUCCCUCUCCCCCUUGUGUCUGACCCUGUCUUACCCAUUUCGAGUUCAAGCGGUGCAGCACCUCCGAAGCAUCAAUGCACACACCUGCUGUUGCUUUUGAUUUCUGGAAGGCAUGUAGUUUCAACUUGUAACAAAAAUAUUUGUAGUCUUCAAUAAACUGUGGUAUUUCUUUAGCUAACUCUGGCGUUCUUUCCGUGCAUGUCUUUCUGGACACUAGGA
This 32062-nucleotide long non-coding RNA is filed under the name Marmota monax (woodchuck). The stretch from base 28102 to 28238 matches the Rfam family "Small nucleolar RNA SNORA58". The record is from RNAcentral. Lineage: Eukaryota; Metazoa; Chordata; Mammalia; Rodentia; Sciuridae.